GGUGGCUCAGUGGUAGAGUGCUUGCCUUGCACGCAUGAAGCCCUGGGUUCAAUUCCUCAGCACCA
Non-coding RNA from Dipodomys ordii (Ord's kangaroo rat), 65 nucleotides. Lineage: Eukaryota; Metazoa; Chordata; Mammalia; Rodentia; Heteromyidae. The record is from Rfam.